GAUGAACGCUGGCGGCGUGCCUAAUACAUGCCAGUCGAGCGAACAGACGAGGAGCUUGCUCCUCUGACGUUAGCGGCGGACGGGUGAGUAACACGUGGAUAACCUACCUAUAAGACUGCGAUAACUUCGGGAAACCGGAGCUAAUACCGGAUAAUAUAUUGAACCGCAUGGUUCAAUAGUGAAAGACGGUUUUGCUGUCACUUAUAGAUGGAUCCGCGCCGCAUUAGCUAGUUGGUAAGGUAACGGCUUACCAAGGCAACGAUGCGUAGCCGACCUGAGAGGGUGAUCGGCCACACUGGAACUGAGACACGGUCCAGACUCCUACGGGAGGCAGCAGUAGGGAAUCUUCCGCAAUGGGCGAAAGCCUGACGGAGCAACGCCGCGUGAGUGAUGAAGGUCUUCGGAUCGUAAAACUCUGUUAUUAGGGAAGAACAAAUGUGUAAGUAACUAUGCACGUCUUGACGGUACCUAAUCAGAAAGCCACGGCUAACUACGUG
Molecule: ribosomal RNA, 497 nt
Filed under: uncultured bacterium
Lineage: Bacteria
Description: partial 16S ribosomal RNA
Rfam family: Bacterial small subunit ribosomal RNA
Source: RNAcentral